RNAcentral lists this ribosomal RNA (800 nucleotides) under uncultured bacterium. Its description in RNAcentral is "bacterial SSU rRNA". It matches the Rfam family "Bacterial small subunit ribosomal RNA", at positions 1 to 808 of the family's 1533-position model. The record is from RNAcentral.
GAAUUCGCCCUUAGAGUUUGAUCCUGGCUCAGGACGAACGCUGGCGGCGUGCCUAACACAUGCAAGUCGAACGGAGAUGUUUAUUUCGGUAGACAUCUUAGUGGCGCACGGGUGAGUAACGCGUGAAUAACCUGACCCGAAGAGGGGGAUAACACCUGGAAACAAGUGCUAAUACCGCAUAAGACCACGGACCGGCAUCGGUCAGAGGUCAAAGGAGGAAUCCGCUUUGGGAGGGGUUCGCGUCCCAUUAGGUAGUUGGUGAGGUAACGGCCCACCAAGCCGACGAUGGGUAGCCGAGCUGAGAGGCUGAUCGGCCACACUGGAACUGAGACACGGUCCAGACUCCUACGGGAGGCAGCAGUGGGGAAUAUUGGGCAAUGGGCGCAAGCCUGACCCAGCAACGCCGCGUGAAGGAAGAAGGUUUUCGGAUUGUAAACUUCUGUCCUAAGUGACGAAGGAAGUGACGGUAGCUUAGGAGGAAGCCCCGGCUAACUACGUGCCAGCAGCCGCGGUAAUACGUAGGGGGCGAGCGUUGUCCGGAAUGACUGGGCGUAAAGGGCGUGUAGGCGGGAAGACAGGUCAGAUGUGAAAUGUCGGGGCUCAACCCCGGAACUGCAUUUGAAACCGUUUUUCUUGAGUAUCGGAGAGGCAGGCGGAAUUCCUAGUGUAGCGGUGAAAUGCGUAGAUAUUAGGAGGAACACCAGUGGCGAAGGCGGCCUGCUGGACGACAACUGACGCUGAGGCGCGAAAGCGUGGGGAGCAAACAGGAUUAGAUACCCUGGUAGUCCACGCCGUAAACG